GAUGAACGCUAGCUACAGGCUUAACACAUGCAAGUCGAGGGGAAACGACAUCGAAAGCUUGCUUUUGAUAGGCGUCGACCGGCGCACGGGUGAGUAACGCGUAUCCAACCUGCCCACCACUUGGGGAUAACCUUGCGAAAGUAAGACUAAUACCCGAUGAUAUCCCUAGAAGACAUCUGAAAGGGAUUAAAGAUUUAUCGGUGAUGGAUGGGGAUGCGUCUGAUUAGCUUGUUGGCGGGGUAACGGCCCACCAAGGCAACGAUCAGUAGGGGUUCUGAGAGGAAGGUCCCCCACAUUGGAACUGAGACACGGUCCAAACUCCUACGGGAGGCAGCAGUGAGGAAUAUUGGUCAAUGGGCGAGAGCCUGAACCAGCCAAGUAGCGUGCAGGAUGACGGCCCUAUGGGUUGUAAACUGCUUUUAUAAGGGAAUAAAGUGGGUCUCGUGAGACUUUUUGCAUGUACCUUAUGAAUAAGGACCGGCUAAUUCCGUG
This 492-nucleotide ribosomal RNA is filed under the name uncultured bacterium. RNAcentral's name for it is "bacterial SSU rRNA". It matches the Rfam family "Bacterial small subunit ribosomal RNA", at positions 28 to 507 of the family's 1533-position model. The record is from RNAcentral.